RNAcentral lists this long non-coding RNA (530 nucleotides) under Ananas comosus (pineapple). RNAcentral's name for it is "long non-coding RNA (ACOM_LNC042603)". Lineage: Eukaryota; Viridiplantae; Streptophyta; Magnoliopsida; Poales; Bromeliaceae. The record is from RNAcentral.
CUCGAGCUCGGCUCGAAUUAAUUUCAAUCCAAGCUUGAGCUUAAAUUUAGGCUCGAAAUUAAUUUCAAGCCGUAUUUGAGCCGAGGUAGGCUCGCUCGAGCUCGGCUCGAAUUAAUUUCAAUCCAAGCUUGAGCUUAAAUUUAGGCUCGAAAUUAAUUUCAAGCCGUAUUUGAGCCGAGGUAGGCUCGCUCGAGCUCGGCUCGUUUCCACCCCUAACUAUAUACCUAGCGAACCCACAUAUAGCAAUACUUUUUAAAAGUGUCGGUAAUUUAGCCAACAACACUUUUUUUGAUCUGUACCGACAUAUAAAAGUGUCGGUAUAGACCGUUUUUGUUGUAGUGUUUGUUUUUUUAGCUUAAAUUUAAAUUAUAAUACAUGAUCUCAUUAUUUAAAAAAAUUAAUUUUUACUAUUAAAAUUUGAUUAAAUUUAGCUUGUAUAAUUUUAUUCUAAAAAUAAAUUUGAAUUAUACCCUAUGAUCCUAUUAACUCAAAUAUUUUUAUUUUCCUAUUAUAUAUAUAUAUAUAUAUAU